AAGGAGAGGUUGAGGAGGCUGUGAGGAGGAAGGAAGAGGGACGAGGCAGUGCCUGCUGACACUGAGAUGGGUGGGCUUCAGGGCUCAUGUUCCGCCGAGGGCAUCAGGAGGCACUCGAGGUGUGAAUGGUUUGAUUAGGCUGAGGUGGAAUCUGAAGACAGAAAAUAAAGCGGAGCUGUCUGAGCUCUGGGAAUGAGGGGCAGAUCUCUGCUGAUAAGAAAAGCCUGGGGAGGUUCUGUGGGCAACUGGGUUCUCCACUGGGCAACCCCCCGGGAAAGAAGGAAUUUAUGUCCCAAGGGAACAAGAUGCUGCUGACCUUCCACACAGACUUCUCCAACGAGGAGAAUGGGACCAUCAUGUUCUACAAGGGCUUCCUGGCCUACUACCAAGCUGUGGACCUUGAUGAAUGUGCUUCCCGGAGCAAAUCAGGGGAGGAGGAUCCCCAGCCCCAGUGCCAGCACCUGUGUCACAACUACGUUGGAGGCUACUUCUGUUCCUGCCGUCCAGGCUAUGAGCUUCAGGAAGACAGGCAUUCCUGCCAGGCUGAGUGCAGCAGCGAGCUGUACACGGAGGCAUCAGGCUACAUCUCCAGCCUGGAGUACCCUCGGUCCUACCCCCCUGACCUGCGCUGCAACUACAGCAUCCGGGUGGAGCGGGGCCUCACCCUGCACCUCAAGUUCCUGGAGCCUUUUGAUAUUGAUGACCACCAGCAAGUACACUGCCCCUAUGACCAGCUACAGAUCUAUGCCAACGGGAAGAACAUUGGCGAGUUCUGUGGGAAGCAAAGGCCCCCCGACCUCGACACCAGCAGCAAUGCUGUGGAUCUGCUGUUCUUCACAGAUGAGUCGGGGGACAGCCGGGGCUGGAAGCUGCGCUACACCACCGAGAUCAUCAAGUGCCCCCAGCCCAAGACCCUAGACGAGUUCACCAUCAUCCAGAACCUGCAGCCUCAGUACCAGUUCCGUGACUACUUCAUUGCUACCUGCAAGCAAGGCUACCAGCUCAUAGAGGGGAACCAGGUGCUGCAUUCCUUCACAGCUGUCUGCCAGGAUGAUGGCACGUGGCAUCGUGCCAUGCCCAGAUGCAAGAUCAAGGACUGUGGGCAGCCCCGAAACCUGCCUAAUGGUGACUUCCGUUACACCACCACAAUGGGAGUGAACACCUACAAGGCCCGUAUCCAGUACUACUGCCAUGAGCCAUAUUACAAGAUGCAGACCAGAGCUGGCAGCAGGGAGUCUGAGCAAGGGGUGUACACCUGCACAGCACAGGGCAUUUGGAAGAAUGAACAGAAGGGAGAGAAGAUUCCUCGGUGCUUGCCAGUGUGUGGGAAGCCCGUGAACCCCGUGGAACAGAGGCAGCGCAUCAUCGGAGGGCAAAAAGCCAAGAUGGGCAACUUCCCCUGGCAGGUGUUCACCAACAUCCACGGGCGCGGGGGCGGGGCCCUGCUGGGCGACCGCUGGAUCCUCACAGCUGCCCACACCCUGUAUCCCAAGGAACACGAAGCGCAAAGCAACGCCUCUUUGGAUGUGUUCCUGGGCCACACAAAUGUGGAAGAGCUCAUGAAGCUAGGAAAUCACCCCAUCCGCAGGGUCAGCGUCCACCCGGACUACCGUCAGGAUGAGUCCUACAAUUUUGAGGGGGACAUCGCCCUGCUGGAGCUGGAAAAUAGUGUCACCCUGGGUCCCAACCUCCUCCCCAUCUGCCUCCCUGACAACGAUACCUUCUACGACCUGGGCUUGAUGGGCUAUGUCAGUGGCUUCGGGGUCAUGGAGGAGAAGAUUGCUCAUGACCUCAGGUUUGUCCGUCUGCCCGUAGCUAAUCCACAGGCCUGUGAGAACUGGCUCCGGGGAAAGAAUAGGAUGGAUGUGUUCUCUCAAAACA
RNAcentral lists this unclassified non-coding RNA (1881 nucleotides) under Homo sapiens (human). Its description in RNAcentral is "complement C1r (ENSG00000288512.1)". The record is from RNAcentral. Lineage: Eukaryota; Metazoa; Chordata; Mammalia; Primates; Hominidae.